Molecule: long non-coding RNA, 683 nt
Organism: Mytilus californianus (California mussel)
Lineage: Eukaryota; Metazoa; Mollusca; Bivalvia; Mytilida; Mytilidae
Exons: 3
Source: RefSeq, a predicted model, not a curated record
AUUAUCUCAUUUUUUACAGGCAAAAGUAUAUAUAAACCAUAUAUUUUUGGAAUCAGUGUAAAUAAAUCUAUCAUAUGAGACCGGAAGUGACAUUUUCUAAACCGGAAGUAGCCAAUUAUCUCCCUUUUUACAGGCAAAAGUAUAUAUAAACCAUAUAUUUUUGGAAUCAGUGUAAAUAAAUCUAUCAUAUGAGACCGGAAGUGACAUUUUCUAAACCGGAAGUAGCCAAUUAUCUCCCUUUUUACAGGCAAAAGUAUAUAUAAACCAUAUAUUUUUGGAAUCAGUGUAAAUAAAUCUUUCAUAUGAGACCGGAAGUGACAUUUUCUAAACCGGAAGUUGACAAUUAUCUCCCUUAUUUCAGGCAAAAGUCUAUAGAAACCAUAUGUUUAUUGAAUCAGUAUGAAGAAACCUAUGAUUGGACGCCAAUAAUAGCUUUGAGUAAACCAGAAUUAGCUUCUCAUCAACUAUUUAGAAAAUUGAUGUGGAAAGACCUUCAAUUGUUCUUUGAACAAUUGGUUUUUAAUUUUUUUUUUCUUCCGCCAAAUUUUGUUCUUGCGAUAAACUUUUGUUUCGCAAGAUGUCGCUUAGAUGUUUCGUAUAUGAUAUCGAACAGUUUAUGCGCCUUUGAAAUUGACCCUGCUUAACAGAAUACUUUUCUUUGUAGGAGUUAUCUCCUCGAACAC